Molecule: ribosomal RNA, 544 nt
Filed under: uncultured bacterium
Lineage: Bacteria
Description: partial 16S ribosomal RNA
Rfam family: Bacterial small subunit ribosomal RNA
Source: RNAcentral
UGGGGAAUAUUGCACAAUGGGCGCAAGCCUGAUGCAGCCAUGCCGCGUGUGUGAAGAAGGCCUUCGGGUUGUAAAGCACUUUCAGCGAGGAGGAAGGUGGUGAGCUUAAUACGCUCAUCAAUUGACGUUACUCGCAGAAGAAGCACCGGCUAACUCCGUGCCAGCAGCCGCGGUAAUACGGAGGGUGCAAGCGUUAAUCGGAAUUACUGGGCGUAAAGCGCACGCAGGCGGUUUGUUAAGUCAGAUGUGAAAUCCCCGGGCUCAACCUGGGAACUGCAUUUGAAACUGGCAAGCUAGAGUCUCGUAGAGGGGGGUAGAAUUCCAGGUGUAGCGGUGAAAUGCGUAGAGAUCUGGAGGAAUACCGGUGGCGAAGGCGGCCCCCCUGGACGAAGACUNACGCUCAGGUGCGAAAGCGUGGGGAGCAAACAGGAUUAGNUACCCUGGUAGUCCACGCUGUAAACGAUGUCGAUUUGGAGGUUGUGCCCUUGAGGCGUGGCUUCCGGAGCUAACGCGUUAAAUCGACCGCCUGGGGAGUACGGCCAGC